GAUAAGUGCUGAAAGCAUCUAAGCACGAAACUUGCCCCGAGAUGAGUUCUCCCUGACCCUUUAAGGGUCCUGAAGGAACGUUGAAGACGACGACGUUGAUAGGCCGGGUGUGUAAGCGCAGCGAUGCGUUGAGCUAACCGGUACUAAUGAACCGUGAGGCUUAACCUUACAACGCCGAAGCUGUU
Molecule: ribosomal RNA, 185 nt
Filed under: Escherichia coli
Lineage: Bacteria; Pseudomonadati; Pseudomonadota; Gammaproteobacteria; Enterobacterales; Enterobacteriaceae
Description: partial 23S ribosomal RNA
Rfam family: Bacterial large subunit ribosomal RNA
Source: RNAcentral